Ostrinia furnacalis (Asian corn borer) is the source of this 480-nucleotide long non-coding RNA. RefSeq lists it as uncharacterized. Lineage: Eukaryota; Metazoa; Arthropoda; Insecta; Lepidoptera; Crambidae. The transcript has 3 exons. The record is from RefSeq and is a predicted model, not a curated record.
GGGAUCUAAUCCUUUUACAAUUCCAUCGUGCGAUGCAAAAUGCAUCAAUAAGUAUUUUGUGAUUAGGAAUUAAAUAAAACACACAUGAGGAAUUCCCUAAUCGUUGUUUUGGCUGAGGGUGGAAUGCUGAAGACUGCAAGUGAAAUGUAAUUAGCGAGCAGUCUUCAUGCGGGUUUUUUGAGUUACUAUAUAAAUUUCAUAAGUUACAUCAUCAUCUUUUGUGCUAUCAUCUCUUCGCAUUUCCUCCUUGUUCUCAAACCUCUUUAUCUGCAAGAGUUUGAACGCUUUUCUGUCGAGGAGAUGCACGAGCUUCAUCUGGCACUGCAUGCUUGAGGCCGUGGAGGACGCUGCUUGUAGCCUAAAAGUGUGCGAGACCUGUUGAACCCCAGAAGAAGAGAGGAACGUUCAGGGUAACGGCUUAUAACCGCAUGGCUUCCAAGGUACCCACUUUUCCAUGAUAAAAGUAGGAGUCUUUCUGAC